Long non-coding RNA from Biomphalaria glabrata, 2964 nucleotides. RefSeq lists it as uncharacterized. NCBI's taxonomy places the organism in Eukaryota, Metazoa, Mollusca, Gastropoda, Planorbidae. The transcript has 6 exons. The record is from RefSeq and is a predicted model, not a curated record.
UCUGUAACAUGUAUUAAAUAUAUUUUAACCAUUCAUACUACAGAUCUGAUUUACUGUAAUUGUGUAUAGUUGCACUGUUCAAUUAGAUUUCAAAUAAAUAAAUUAUUUGCAAUUCUUAUUGCAUCUUCUGGUAAUAAGCCGAUUUUAAAAGUUUUAAUGUAGCCUAUAAUGCUAGUUUCCAGUACCGGUAGAUAUUUUUAAUGUAAACAAACUUUACACAAGCAAAGAAUAUUAACAAUAGGGGUUUUACCAAUCUUGUUUGAAUUUAUUUAGUCGUUUUGAAACAUGACUAAUAAGAAUGCUUUUAUAUUGAUUUAAAUGUUUGUCUCAGUUAUAUUUAAAUAUAGAUAUCAAUUUAUAAAGAUCGAGUGCGUGUAAAAUUCCUACAAAUAAAGAUCAGCUUAGGUUAACACGUGUUUGACGUUUUCCUUGCUCGUUGCAUAGAACGCGUGCUAUCAAGCAAGAAAGUACACGUGUUCACACUGAUGGUCAGUAGGUCAAGGCUCACUGACUCUCACUGUAAAUCUUUUUCGUACCACCUCUUUACUCGAUCUUUUUGUUGACGUAAUAGACCUUGUGAUCUCUUUCUUUUAUGAGUUACACAAAUGUUUAGGUCAAUAACAUUCAAAUAUAAUGAAACACGUAACUAAAACUAUCUUAUGAUUUAAAUAUAAUUCAAGGAAUUUUUAUUUUAAAGUAUAAGAUAUAACUGGCAAGAUCAUGAUAUGAACGACAGGAUUUGCUAUUCAGUUUCAUACAUUUAAAAAAAAGUUAUCUCAAAAUACAUGCUACAUGACAGAUCUAAUAAACUACAUUAUAGGCACAGUUCGUAAAUAUUAUCGAUGACUGAUUCUACGAAGAUAAAGAGCAUAAAAAAAAAUCAAGAGGCAUGCAAAUGUGUUGUAGCCAUAGUUGUAGACUAUGUACGUGUCAGUGUUUUAUCUAAUAUCUACUGUAUACCCCAUUCUAGAAUAUUUAUGAUUUAAAAUAUAUAUAAAAUUAAUUAGAGUCAUAUUUUAAAUCGUGCAAUCUAACUUUGUAAGAACCAUCUUCGUUAAUUAUAAUGUCUAUAAUGCAAUUUGUGUAAGUACGGUAGUCAAGUAGAUGAGGUCACGAGAUGAACCAACACAUCCUCACAUCAUUUGUUCAAAUGCUGCACACUGCUAUAUGGUAUCGAAAUACUAGCGUUAAUAAAACAAACAAUUUAAAUAUUCAACAAGAGACACUACUAAUACAGUAUUAGAGAAGAUUAUAGUCCUGAGGGGGGGGGGGGGGGGGAGAAAGACUGUGCCGCUGGUCAAUGUGUAGGCUACCCGGUCACGUGGCUUACUUACAAUUGACCAACCAGAGACAGGUCUACAUGAUAGGCUACAGCCUAUUGCAUCAUUAAGAAAAAUAGCGCCAGAACCAAACACCAUGACCAUCCCAUUCCAGUCAUAGUACUCAUAGAUCUACUUCAAGAUUGUGUUGAUUUGUGAUUAACUCGAAUCUAUUCUAACAACUUUGGAAUGUGUGCGUCAAGCAAAGACUCUCGGAACCAAAGAGUGAAAGAAUGAUGGCAUCACUAUGAUCACUUCUUGCUGGAUCUGUCCAAGAGUCAAUGAGUACAGGUGGACCAUGUUGGAAAAUAACUUUCAGUCAAGACUCAAGUUGAGACAAGAGCUCCAUUGAUGUUAUUGAUCAAACUGAACAUGUUCUAGAGAUACUGGAGAAAAGAUCUGAGUGCAGUACAGACUCAUUAAUUAAAAGAAGCAGAGAUAAAUACAAUCAGGAUUGGGUAUGAAGCAAAAUUCCCAAUGGCAAAUAAUGUAUCACUGUUGGAAAUAGAAGUGAAACUGAAGGAUGAAGAUUCUCAUGAAAAUUUGAUCUAUCCAGUGAAAACAGCAUUAAGAGAACAAUAGUAUGGAUUAUAACUUGGCUGGACUGGACAUGGCACAAACAGAAAAUAAAUGUAUUGAAUUUUCAAUCCAAAUUAUGGAUUUUAGAUUAUUCAAGUGAGUUACCCUAGUCUGUCAAAUAACUUAGAGAAAGUACUUGAACUUGGCACAUGUGAUGGCACAGAAAUCGUAAAAAAAGAAGGAUGAUCCCAAACAUGUAAAACAUUUUACAAACAAACCUAAUCAAAGUUUAUAAAUGUUUAAAAAAAAGUAAGAUGCACAAGCAAAUUUAUUUACAUACUACAAAAAUUAGAACUAAUGACUAAUGGAAAAAAAAAACCUACCUAUCUAGACUUAACAACAAAGAAAUAAGUAAAUAUAAUAUUUCAAACAUGUGCUGGAUCUUGUUAGUUUAUUAACAUACUAUGUAGGUGCAUUACAUAAAACAUGUAGUGGUUCUUGGUUGUUGAUUACCGGUACUGUGCUUUUUUCAAAUACACAUUAGUUUUGUCAUAUAUUAAUUAUAAAUAUUUAUGUUCACCAUUAAUUAUUUCGUUCAGCUAUAGCAACAUAAGGAAGGCAUGGUGGCUAAGUGGUUAAGCAUUUGGCUUCCAGACCCGAAUUAGAAUCUCAGUGAAAAUUGGGAUUUUUAAGACACCCUAACUCUGAUGGAUACUGGUACCUGAUUUUAGCUGGGGAAAGUAAAGACAGUUGUUUAGCUAGCUACAUGACACCCUGCUUGUUAACCAUUAGCCAAAGAAACUGAUGGCCUUAACAUCAUCUGCCCUAUAGAUGCUAAGUUUGAAAAGGGGAACUUUACUUUUAUUACAACAUAAGGUUAUAAGUUGACAGUUACAGAUGAUGUACCAUAUGAGCAUCAUUGUUGUUUACUGGCUUUUGAACAGUAGCUUGAAACGUUUGCUCUUACUUACAUAGAAUAUUCACUGUUAAAAAAUUAUGAAUAUGAUAGUGCAGCUAGUCACUCUGCUCAAAAUUGAAAAAAAUAUUUUGUUGAAAUUAUAAACAUGAGCUACCGGUAUAUAUAAAUGUAUAGUUUUCAUUGUUGAGCACACACUUUUUCUUUGGU